RNAcentral lists this ribosomal RNA (253 nucleotides) under uncultured bacterium. RNAcentral describes it as "partial 16S ribosomal RNA". It matches the Rfam family "Bacterial small subunit ribosomal RNA", at positions 524 to 776 of the family's 1533-position model. The record is from RNAcentral.
UACGGAGGGUGCAAGCGUUAUCCGGAUUCACUGGGUUUAAAGGGUGCGUAGGUGGGUUGGUAAGUCAGUGGUGAAAUCUCCGAGCUUAACUUGGAAACUGCCAUUGAUACUAUCAGUCUUGAAUACCGUGGAGGUCAGCGGAAUAUGUCAUGUAGCGGUGAAAUGCUUAGAUAUGACAUAGAACACCAAUUGCGAAGGCAGCUGACUACGCGAGUAUUGACACUGAUGCACGAAAGCGUGGGGAUCAAACAGG